Molecule: non-coding RNA, 378 nt
Organism: Styela clava
Lineage: Eukaryota; Metazoa; Chordata; Ascidiacea; Stolidobranchia; Styelidae
Source: RefSeq, a predicted model, not a curated record
GACGCAACACGUAUCCUAAAAUUUGAAAGAGAGAGAACAAUUUCUCUUCCCGCUUCAGAGUAGUGAGUCAGCUUGCAUAGGAUAUAUUCCGAUGUGAAUAGACUGAAGCUUCAUUCUAAACUUUGCUGUUCGAAAAUUUAUUUUCAUCGAAGCGAAAUUGACGAAAUCCUUGGAUUCGAAAUGAAGAUUCCGAUUCGACACAGUUUUAUCGGACUAAUACUGUUGAUGGAAGCUUGUUUAUUCAUUAAAGGUGAGAAAUGCUGGAUGCCUAUGGUUUGCGACGGGCAACCUACUUGGAGAGACGUUAAGAAUGGACAGUGCACAAAAGACGAAGAGAAGGCUUUGGAAGCCUUAACGGAACAAUUACACGGAAUGAAA